This 444-nucleotide ribosomal RNA is filed under the name Roeboides dientonito. RNAcentral's name for it is "partial small subunit ribosomal RNA". It matches the Rfam family "Bacterial small subunit ribosomal RNA", at positions 7 to 794 of the family's 1533-position model. Lineage: Eukaryota; Metazoa; Chordata; Actinopteri; Characiformes; Characidae. The record is from RNAcentral.
CAAAGGCCUGGUCCCGACUUUACUAUUAGUUUUAGCCUAAUUUAUACAUGCAAGUAUCCGCACCCCCGUGAGAAUGCCCUCAAUCCUCCGCCCGAGAACGAGGAGCUGGCAUCAGGCACAAUUCUUAGCCCAAAACGCCUUGCUACGCCACACCCCCAAGGGAACUCAGCAGUAAUAAACAUUAAGCCAUAAGUGAAAACUUGACUUAGUUAAGGCUAAGAGGGUCGGUAAAACUCGUGCCAGCCACCGCGGUUAUACGGGAGACCCUAAUUAAUAGACACGGCGUAAAGAGUGGUUUAGGGUAAAAAUUAAUAAAGCCGAAGAUUCCCCCAGCCGUUGAAAGCACUAUGAGAACACGAAGCCCCAUUACGAAAGUAGCUUUACCAAUAUUUUCCUGACCCCACGAAAGCUAAGAAACAAACUGGGAUUAGAUACCCCACUAUG